Molecule: non-coding RNA, 1703 nt
Organism: Camellia sinensis
Lineage: Eukaryota; Viridiplantae; Streptophyta; Magnoliopsida; Ericales; Theaceae
Source: RefSeq, a predicted model, not a curated record
UCUCCAAGCUACUCCAAUGUUCUGAAACCUUCUACGAUAUUCUAAACUCUUUCGAAUUUCUUUAGACCUUUCUAGAGUCUACUAGAUCUUUCCGGAGUCUUUUAGUUUAUUCAACAUGUGUAGUUGAUGGCUUGGAUAAUUCUAGAAGAGUCAACGAUGAUGACUUUUAAUAGAUCAUGCAGGUCCUUCAAGAGGAAAACUUCAGUAUAAUCCGUCACAUGCUUGAGUUUGAGUCACGUAUCAUCUUUGACAUCAACCAUUUUGAGGUAAAGGUGUUUAAUGGGAAUUGGGAUGAUGCUAAGGGAUACCUUUCUUUAUUCUGCAAAUUAGAAGACAGUGAUGAUUCUAAGAAAAUCUUCUUUGAAAUGCAGAAGCCGAAGUUUUUUGAGGCAUUUGAUAAGCAAGAUAUUCACAAGGCUGGAGAAAUUCUCAUAAACCAACUGAAAUUUUUUGCCUAAUUUGAUUGUUAUGAACAAGAGCUCAGCAAAAUGGUCUUUGCUGGCAAAUACUGAUUUCAGGUUUGAGCUAAAAAAAUACCAUUUUAAUUAUCCUGUUACUUUGAUUGCCUUUAUUAUGACUGAAUGAUAUUGUCUUAGUUAUGCUUGUAAUGGUACUACUGUAGAGAACACAAGAAAGAAAUUGAUAAGCCAGCUCAAGAUCAUCUUUCAAAGUAAUGACACUAUCAAACAGAAGCUGCAUACCCCUGAAUUAGAGAAGUAAAAGUUAUGGUAUUUCCUUAGCCAAGGGUAAUAUUCCUUUCAUUGAAAAAAGGUUUAGUGAUAUACAAAAUGAUUUGGAAAGCGGAUUUAUAAAAUGCAGAAAUCUCAUUGUUUCCCAUGUAAGUACAAACAAUCAACCGGAAAGAGUUGCAUCUCAGUCUCAACAUUUACUAAGGCUUGUGAUGUUCUUGAUUGGAUUGAUUCUGAAUCUAUUAACUGCAAAUGGCACAAUCUCAUAUUCUAACAAGAGGCCCACCACGAGUCUUGUUUCAAUUAUCCGAACUGUUCAAUGUGUAGAGUUCGUCGAGUACUUUAUCUCUGUCAAAAAUCACAUUGAUCUGAUAUCAAUAGCUACUUUGAUUGGAUCAGAUUUUGUCAACAGUAAAUAUAAUUUUCAAAAUAAAUUGUUGCCAACAAGAAGUAUUCGGAUAUUUUGCAGAGGAUGUUGCCAACUCCUAGUCAAACAAAUACGUGGACAGGGUCUCUUCAAAUUCUGUCCAUGGAAAUAUUGAUCAUUUGGAAACAUUCACACUCCCAGUAUAUGACUUCAUUAGUUCUUAUUUUUCAUGUACUUAUUCUUCAUAUUUGAGGUUAUACAUUCUUGAUGCUUCAAGCUCCUUAAGUAAAAAUUAUUGAACAAAGUGAGGUAAAUCUUGAAGACCAGUUUGAAAUGAACAUCAAUCAGGUGUCUUCAUCCCAUGCUAUAAUGUACAACAGCAAUACAAAUAUGCAAGGAAAUAACAACUGAAAUUAGAGAACCUCGCUUAGGAAUGACAAAAACAGAACUACGAAAAUAGGGGAAUUUGGUUUCUAUGCCUUGCUAAUUUUAAAUUUAUGUUAGAUGAUGUUAGAUGUUGAGGUUUUACUUACUCCACUCAUUUCUAUAUACACACAAGCUUGCAAUCUUAUUUUAUAUUGGCCGAACAAGAAAUGUUGUUUCUGAUUCUCUUCUCUCGUGAGUAAUGUAGAUUCUGAGGUUGAUUU